AAUCCCAAAGAAACCGCAUGGUUCUUGGCUGAAAGAUGGCGUAAGCCUAUCGCUUUUGGAUGGGACCCGCGGCGUAUUUAGCUAGUUGGUGAGGUAACGGCUCCACCAAGGCAAUGAUACGUAGCCGAACUGAGAGGUUGAUCGGCCACAUUUGGGACUGAGACACGGCCCAAACUCCUACGGGAGGCAGCAGUAGGGAAUCUUCCACAAUGGACGCAAGUCUGAUGGAGCAACGCCGCGUGAGUGAAGAAGGCUUUCGGGUCGUAAAACUCUGUUGUUGGAGAAGAAUGGUCGGCAGAGUAACUGUUGUCGGCGUGACGGUAUCCAACCAGAAAGCCACGGCUAACUACGUGCCAGCAGCCGCGGUAAUACGUAGGUGGCAAGCGUUAUCCGGAUUUAUUGGGCGUAAAGCGAGCGCAGGCGGUUUUUUAAGUCUGAUGUGAAAGCCCUCGGCUUAACCGAGGAAGUGCAUCGGAAACUGGGAAACUUGAGUGCAGAAGAGGACAGUGGAACUCCAUGUGUAGCGGUGAAAUGCGUAGAUAUAUGGAAGAACACCAGUGGCGAAGGCGGCUGUCUGGUCUGUAACUGACGCUGAGGCUCG
Molecule: ribosomal RNA, 601 nt
Filed under: Lacticaseibacillus casei
Lineage: Bacteria; Bacillati; Bacillota; Bacilli; Lactobacillales; Lactobacillaceae
Description: bacterial SSU rRNA
Rfam family: Bacterial small subunit ribosomal RNA
Source: RNAcentral